Molecule: ribosomal RNA, 253 nt
Filed under: uncultured bacterium
Lineage: Bacteria
Description: partial 16S ribosomal RNA
Rfam family: Bacterial small subunit ribosomal RNA
Source: RNAcentral
UACAGAGGGUGCAAGCGUUGUCCGGAAUUAUUGGGCGUAAAGAGCGCGUAGGCGGUCCGAUAAGUCGGCUGUGAAAGUCAGGGGCUCAACCCUUGGAAGCCGGCCGAUACUGUCGGACUAGAGUCCGGAAGAGGCGAGUGGAAUUCCCGGUGUAGCGGUGAAAUGCGCAGAUAUCGGGAGGAACACCAAUGGCGAAGGCAGCUCGCUGGGACGGUACUGACGCUGAGGCGCGAAAGCGUGGGGAGCAAACAGG